Molecule: ribosomal RNA, 531 nt
Filed under: Bifidobacterium longum
Lineage: Bacteria; Bacillati; Actinomycetota; Actinomycetes; Bifidobacteriales; Bifidobacteriaceae
Description: bacterial SSU rRNA
Rfam family: Bacterial small subunit ribosomal RNA
Source: RNAcentral
AAAAGGUGGUAAUGCCGGAUGCUCCAGUUGAUCGCAUGGUCUUCUGGGAAAGCUUUCGCGGUAUGGGAUGGGGUCGCGUCCUAUCAGCUUGACGGCGGGGUAACGGCCCACCGUGGCUUCGACGGGUAGCCGGCCUGAGAGGGCGACCGGCCACAUUGGGACUGAGAUACGGCCCAGACUCCUACGGGAGGCAGCAGUGGGGAAUAUUGCACAAUGGGCGCAAGCCUGAUGCAGCGACGCCGCGUGAGGGAUGGAGGCCUUCGGGUUGUAAACCUCUUUUAUCGGGGAGCAAGCGAGAGUGAGUUUACCCGUUGAAUAAGCACCGGCUAACUACGUGCCAGCAGCCGCGGUAAUACGUAGGGUGCAAGCGUUAUCCGGAAUUAUUGGGCGUAAAGGGCUCGUAGGCGGUUCGUCGCGUCCGGUGUGAAAGUCCAUCGCUUAACGGUGGAUCCGCGCCGGGUACGGGCGGGCUUGAGUGCGGUAGGGGAGACUGGAAUUCCCGGUGUAACGGUGGAAUGUGUAGAUAUCGAA